This is a long non-coding RNA of Diuraphis noxia (Russian wheat aphid), 689 nucleotides long. NCBI's taxonomy places the organism in Eukaryota, Metazoa, Arthropoda, Insecta, Hemiptera, Aphididae. The record is from RefSeq and is a predicted model, not a curated record.
GAACUCUCCAAUUUAUAUUUUUCUGUAAAUAAACAUCAGAUUAUUUUUUAUUGGACUAAUUAUUAGCAAAUAACAUCUGUAACUUAAUUUAACGUAAAAUUUAAAAAAAAGUAAUAUAAAAAAAAUUUUUUUUGUAAUUAUUUUUAUCCUUUUGAUAUCUGAUUUAAUUUUAUCCAUAUAAAAUAGUUUGAAUUUUAUAUUCAUAUAGGAGGAAUGUGAGUUGUUAUGGUUAAAUGAACUUAAUUGGGGCGUCAUUUGCCAAUGAUGAUGAUGGUGUUGUUGAUAUUGAUGGUGUUGAUUUGAUGGUGUUGAUUUGAUGGUGGUCAUGACACCAGUAUGUUCCUCAUUGUUGGCACAACAUGAUGGUGUGGUAGAUUUUUAUACAGGGCGAGCUCAUCAAACGCCGUCCAAUUUGUCAAAACUGUAAUAUGGUGCUGCUGACUCGAMAUCACCUACGAAAAGGAUUAUUUGUUUAUAAUAUUGAAUAAUAUUCUCACAUCAGUUUUGAACGAUAGUAGUUUAUAUUUUUAUUUUCAUGAGCCAGAACUUAUAUAUUGGUUAUUAUGUAUCACUUAAUUGAUUUUGUUUGCUUAUUUCAACCUGGAUUUUUUUWAAAUAUUAUUACACCUACUUAAAUGAAUUCAAUUUAUAGGUAUGUUAUGAAAAUAAAUCUUUUUUUAUAGUUGAAA